RNAcentral lists this ribosomal RNA (207 nucleotides) under uncultured bacterium. RNAcentral's name for it is "partial 16S ribosomal RNA". It matches the Rfam family "Bacterial small subunit ribosomal RNA", at positions 568 to 774 of the family's 1533-position model. The record is from RNAcentral.
AGCGUAGACGGCAAUGCAAGUCUGGAGUGAAAAUCCGGGGCUCAACCCCGGAACUGCUUUGGAAACUGUGUAGCUAGAGUGCAGGAGAGGUAAGCGGAAUUCCUAGUGUAGCGGUGAAAUGCGUAGAUAUUAGGAGGAACACCGGUGGCGAAGGCGGCUUACUGGACUGUAACUGACGUUGAGGCUCGAAAGCGUGGGGAGCAAACA